UGGACGACUGCUGCUCAUCCUCCUUCUCCCGGAAGUGCUCCUGCACGCACUGCUCCUCGAACUCAUGCAGCCUCUUUAGCUCCUCGUCGCUAAGGAAGAGCUCUGUGUGAAGGGAGAAGUGUCGGCCACGUGAAAAACAAGAAGAAUCAGUUUCGUGGCGUCAAUGAGAAUUUCACAGCCCCACUUUAAUUAAGCUCUCUUCUCCGCCACUCCUAAGGCAGUCGCCACUACUCCAAUUGAUUUUUAUCUAAAAAGGGGUUGUCAUACGCCCCAACCCUCUAUCAGUUGGAGCCAAACGGCCCGCUUUUAAACAUAAAAAACAAAAUUACAUUUACUGGGAAAGUAAAGCCAACGGCCGCUGAGACGCAUAAUGAUGAUGUAGAUGUGGCUUAAAAUGAUCAUCGGUGGGGGCAGGACUGGCCUGUCAUGAAAUGUCAUAAUCAGCUGAUAUCGCUGGAACUUCCAUACCUGGUUGGAUAUUGAUUUUACUUCAAAGAAGAUCAUCCAGUAGGGCAUGUAGAAGAUGUUUCGGGCCAGUUUCCAAGAAGGCUUCUCCUCUGGAUGCAGAAUGGCUUGACGGGCUACUCCGAAACUCAUGAGCACGACCAGCAUGAUGACCACAAAGUACAGCAUGUCGAUCAUCUGGCCAAAGUCUCUCUGGAUACCCACAGGAUGCCACUACUAACCAUCUUUCCAAUCAUCAUCACGUAUGGCCCCAGAUACUUGUUGACACCAAAGAUGUCCAGGACACGGAUGUACCAGAAGAUGAUAUCCACACAGUAGAUCACCCGGCCAUAGCCCAUGUAGGGCUGGUUCUGUAGGCGAAGAAUUGCUCCAAUCAUGAAUGUGGAAAUGGCCACGAGAUCUGUGAUGUUCCAGUACUCCUGAAGCCAAACUUUGAUUUUCUGGCUGAGUUUGCCUGGUUCUGACAUGAGGAUCUGAAAACAAACCCCAAAGAACAAUAAACUGAGAUGCCGUAUUAGAA
Molecule: long non-coding RNA, 985 nt
Organism: Gorilla gorilla gorilla (western lowland gorilla)
Lineage: Eukaryota; Metazoa; Chordata; Mammalia; Primates; Hominidae
Exons: 4
Source: RefSeq, a predicted model, not a curated record